RNAcentral lists this long non-coding RNA (4728 nucleotides) under Podarcis lilfordi (Lilford's wall lizard). Lineage: Eukaryota; Metazoa; Chordata; Lepidosauria; Squamata; Lacertidae. The record is from RNAcentral.
AUUUCAGAAGCAUCACAGAACAACUAAUAAGAUGGAAUGACGGGUGGGUGGUGCAAUAUAGAUCCACUGCUAAUGUGCUGCUUUUGUGUAAAUGGCAUACUGCAGAAUACAAUCUUUCUAGAGGUGCCCAAAGAUGCAGCAGUGCUCUCUUACAGAACUGUCCCCUGCACCAUCUGGCAUUGGCAAGAGUGGAACAUGAAUGCUGCAGUAGACGGAUGGCAGGUCCAAUCAAGGGUGCACAGUAGGAGCAUUCACCAGUGUUACGUCAUAUGAUAUGCAUGCUCUCUGCAUGCGUGUUCUGAAUUUGCAGCACGUCCCUUGACAUCUGGGGGAAAGAAUAGUUCUGUAAAAACUGAUCAAAUAGGUUCAUCACAAAAAGCUGCAUGUAAGCAAAAACAGCUUUGAAGUUGCUUUCCCCCCAGACUACUGAGUGGUUUUAAAAUAUGUUAUUUGUUUUUAUAGGUUCUUUAGCUUCGUUUUAAAAUCUAUUUUGUAAGGGAAACAGAAUGCUAGUAAAAAUGCGAAAAACAUCAGUAAAUUUCAUUCUACGGAAGUAGGUAAGAUAUGAUUACUUGUUUAAGAUAUUGUGUCCUAAUCCUGCUGGGGUGCCCUGAAGUGUAUGGAGGGCUAUGAGUCCUUUGCCUGAGUUAAAUGUAUAAAAUUGCACUACCCUUCAUUUAUUUCAGAGGUUGCUAAAAUGUGCUAAUGUUUCUGGAUUGCAACCAGUAUUGCUGCACAUGGUGGGACAGAGCUGAACUCCUGACAUCACCAUCACUGCUGUUUAUAUGGGUGGGGCAGGCUUCUGGGGUUGGGGGUCACAUGGUUGCACUAGCACCAGCACUGGAUUGGCGGGGGGGCGGGUCUCACUGGUGUAACUGUGUGGCCUCUGGCCUUGCCAGUGCCCCAUCGCAGCCCCAUCUAGGUAAGCUGCGCCAACAGUGCUGUCAGGAGGGCAACUUUGUCUGAUCACACACUGCUACGGAGUCUACAGUAGGGGUAGUCAACCUUUUUAUACCUACUGCCCACUAGUGCAUCUUUCCUGAUGGUAAAAUUUCCUUAUCGCCCACCAGUGCUUGAUGGAAGAAGGAUUCAACUUGUGCCGUAGAACCCCCUACCUAGAAUCCUGAAACGCCCACUAGUGGGCGAUAGGGACCAGGUUGACAGCCCCUGGUCCACAGGCUGAUGGGAUUUGGAGUGCCACAGCUUAGCAACCCGCUGAUUUUCUAACACAAUUUAAAGGCCCCCAGAGUGGCUUAAACAAGAUCUGCCUGCAAGUUUACAAUCUAAAAGCCAAAAUGGCACAAAAAAGGGGUGGUGGUGAAGGAUGAAGAGGGACUUUUCCGACAUGACUAAUUAUUGUUUUGCAAGUAAAAUAAUUGAUUAUAUUGUUACUGGCCACCCUAAUUUCUGCUGAGAAAUGCACAAGAUUCCAGGGGUCUUGACACUUAACCAGGGUUUUUGUUCCUUUGGAAUGCGGCAUUACUUUUUUUCUUUUUCUUUUUAAAAAAGGUUUAUUUACACAUAUUUACACCUGAGGUUUUUAUGUAUCUGAAGAAGUGUGCAUGCACACAAAAGCUCAUACCAAUAACAAACUUAGUUGGUCUCUAAGGUGCUACUGGAAGGAAUUUUUGUAUUUUGUUUCGAAUGAGGUUUUAAUGGCGUGCAGAGCAUUACACCCCAAGGGUGUCUCUUGUUGCUCCCCUCAUAGCUUCAGCAAGCUUGGGUCCACAGUGAAGGCCAGCCAUCUCAGCCUCUGUGUGCAGCCUCUCACAGUGAGCUCCACAUGGAGCUCUCCUCACUUCCUCCAAACCUGUUUUAAAAGGACACCUUUUUGCCUGUGGUGACAUCACACCUUCUGUUACCCUGGCAACCUCCCCCUCCCAGCUUACAUCAUGAAACACUGAAGUCCUAAAUCUCAUGGGAGGAGGGGCUCACACUCCUUUGCUGCUUGACACAAGGUAACUCUUUGCGUCAAUCACCCAUCACUUUGCACUACAUAUAUUUCUUCUUUCUAGUGAUUUCUGGCCAAGAAAAUGUGUUUUUAUGAAGCCUUCCAAGUGGGUUGGUCCUAUGAAGAUUAAUGGGUUGGGUAGGCCCCAUUAACCUAAUGCCCUGUGUGACCAUCAUCUUCCAGACAACCUGUUUUUUUAUAAUUCAUUCUGUUUCGUUUUGAACAAGAAUUUGCAGGAAGUUUAUACUGUGUAUUAAGCAUUUGUUCUGAUUUGUUUGUAUGUGGGUGGGUCAAGUUACACCACCUUUUCAAGUGCAAUCUUAUGUCCCUUUCCUUACCACAAAAAGCUUGAUAUUUGAAAGUGGCUUUGUUGCUCAAGAGUGAAAUCCAUUUUGACUGUGCAGCCUGAAUUUGCCAGUAUGUUAUUGAAUCUCACCCACAAAAUAGUGACUGCCUGGAUUUGGCUCAGUGCCAAUUUACUUGCCACGCUCACACAGAUGUAGGUAGCCUCACUUUUGAAACUUUAUAGAGCUUACAAGGGCUUUGAUGCAAUAUGAGAUGUGGUUGUUCUGCUGCAUUGUACUCAGCCUGGGGAAGUGUGUACUUCAUGAGUCCUGUGGAAUGACAGGUUAUGGACAUUAUGGACCUAUGGGUAGAUCUGUUCAUGCUUUUAUGAAAGCCUGAUUAAACUGGCUACUUAUAGUUUAUUUAUUUACUUGGCCAUGGGGCACCAAUCCAAAGCAUGUCUUAUGGCAGUUUUCUGCCCAAAAUUGCCUGCCCCACUUCUGGCUUCUGUCUGUCCCUAAAGGUGCUGUUUCUCAUCCAUGGAGUGUGACCCUCAACAUGACACAUGGACAUGAUACAGAAAGUUGUGUGUGUAUAAAAAGUAGAAAGAAAAGGUUAUGACAGCCCCACCAGCCUUUCUGGGCUUGAGGAUAUAUUUGGAACUCUAAAAAUACUGUUGUGAGCACCACAAAAUACCCAUUUCACAAAAGAAAAACUGGUGGUGCACAGAGGAACCCCACUGUAAGAGGGGAAAACAAUUCCACCCACCCGAAAACAAAUAAAACAGAGACAAAAAAGUUGGCAACAACCCACAAAAGCCAAUAAAGAAACAAACCUCAGGCAUCCCUCUCAUUAAACAACCCCUACCCAAGGUUAAGAAAAAACCUCAAUUAAAAACAAUUGAGGGCAGGGAGUUUUGGUGAAUGUCAAGGGGGUGUCUGAAGGUGCAGUGGUGCCCAUGGUCAUCAUGGGGGUGUGUGGAAUCCCAGAGAUAUUAUAUGUAGGGGGCAAUAGUAGGUCAAUGCCAUUUCUGUGCAGACUUAAAUGUAUAUAAGAGCAAACUGACCCAUUCUCAACAGGAGUUAUAUUUCUAGAUAUGCUAUAUUAAUUUAAUACACGUGAUGGAAAAGAGUUCUGAUCAAGUCCAAAAUUGAAUGGAAGAACAUUUGCUGAUUAAUGUUAGUUCUGUUGGAAUAAGUUUCCUUUCAAAGUCCUUUUGUUGAAGUAUUGUUACUUUGACUUUCAGCUGCUGAAGUAUCCUGGGAGACUGAAAUGUUCUCCCACGGGUGUUUGGAUGGUGCCAUUUUUCAUAUCAGAUUUAUGCCCAUUUAAUCUGAAGUGUCUUCUCCUAGGUAGACAGCAGACAGACACUGUUGACAGGUGGUAGCAUAGCACGCUGGGAGGAGAAUGAGCAGGUGGAAUAAAUCCUUGAAGCUACAACUGAUGUUAUUAGUAGUGCAAUAGUUGUUGCAGACAAGAGGAACAGGAAGACCUGCUAUUGCCAGUCUGAGGAAACUCAGGUUGCUACCUGUUUGUCGCCUAAGAAAUCGCUAUUAAAAAUCAAGAUAAAUACCUUAUGCAUGUACUGAGUUAAGCAAAUGCAGACAGUAUGAGGAAGAUUGCCUGUUGAAAAGGUUGAAUGUGAAUAGCAAAUGACGCAUUACUUGUAGCUUAUGAUCUAUGAUUAUUAUUUAUGUUUUAAACUAGAUUAACAUAACUGGUGAAUGAAACUGAUUUUGAUUUGUUUGUUGUAACCAGAAUGUAAUUCACUUUUGCGUGAUGCAGCAGUUGAGGUAGCACAGUGGCUAAAGCUCCAUUCCUAAGUCUGAGAGUAUAAACCCCACUAAAAUCAGUACUUACUUCUGAGUAAAGAUAUUUAGAAAUGCAAUGUAUGGUUUCAAUUAUAAACAUACUAGGGAGUAAGCAUUAUUGAAUGUGUUCGAACUUGCUUCUGAACAAAUAUGCAUGGGACUACAAUGUAAGUCUGCGAUCCUGUGCACACUUAUUUUGGAGGAAACCCCAUUGAACUCACAUGAGAAUGGCUGUAGCUCCUUUGUAAAACACAUGGUUUGCAUGCAGAAGGGCAUCUCCAGGCAGGACUGGGAAAGACCCUGCCUGAAACCUGGAGAGUCGCUGCCAGUCAGUAUAGGCCCGGUGUGAGGAGACUGUAUGCGGUUAAAAGCCAGCUCCCGCAGCCUGAAGCAAGAUGACCAUAGUCGCCUUUGACUGGACCUAACUGUCCAGGGGUCGCUUACCUUUUAGAUAUAUAUAUAAAUACACACACACACACACACACACACACACAUUACUGUUCACCUUUUUAUGUGCACAGCUUCUUCGAACUAGAAUCUAUUGCACCAUAUAUUUAAUGCACAUUACCAGUGCCAGAUUUACGUAUAAGCUAAACAAGCAAUAGCUUAGGGCCCCACUCUCUUGCCCCCCCAAUUUUUUUUUGAACGAACAAAAAACAAACAAACUGGAUUUACAUUUCC